GAGUUUGAUCAUGGCUCAGAUUGAACGCUGGCGGCAUGCCUUACACAUGCAAGUCGAACGGCAGCAUGGUCUAGCUUGCUAGAUUGAUGGCGAGUGGCGAACGGGUGAGUAAUACAUCGGAACGUGCCCUGUAGUGGGGGAUAACUAGUCGAAAGAUUAGCUAAUACCGCAUACGACCUGAGGGUGAAAGUGGGGGACCGCAAGGCCUCAUGCUAUAGGAGCGGCCGAUGUCUGAUUAGCUAGUUGGUGGGGUAAAGGCCCACCAAGGCGACGAUCAGUAGCUGGUCUGAGAGGACGAUCAGCCACACUGGGACUGAGACACGGCCCAGACUCCUACGGGAGGCAGCAGUGGGGAAUUUUGGACAAUGGGCGAAAGCCUGAUCCAGCAAUGCCGCGUGUGUGAAGAAGGCCUCGG
Molecule: ribosomal RNA, 415 nt
Filed under: uncultured microorganism
Description: bacterial SSU rRNA
Rfam family: Bacterial small subunit ribosomal RNA
Source: RNAcentral